AAUAGGUUUCAGCAGCUGUCUGACAAAACUAUCCCUGUACUAAAAGUAAAAAAAGAAAAAAAAUUGUGAUCGGAAACACAAGCAGGAAUUUUGAUGCUGCUAAAAUUACUUUCAAUUUUCAAAUUCACAAGCAAAGUGCACUCCCAAAAUCUCUGACAUUUUCCAAGGCUAUUUAAAACAUCUGUCUCCAGAUAAAAAUAUAAGGAUGUGGACAUAUUAAUUUGUUGAAUCAUCAAAAUACUCUAUUGGUGGGUCCCACACUAAUUUUAAAGGUAUGAUAAAUAUGCUGAGCUGUAUAUAUCCAUCAACUGGUGUGAUUUCUGUUAGAAACUCUGUUACAAUUUGAAUAUUUUUCUGUACACAUCUGACUUGGAUGUCUAAGGUAAGUGGUAGGAUAGGUCUACCGUACGCAUGCUGGGAUUGCAGUGAAUCAAAUUUCAAGAUUUAGGCUUAAAUGGACAAAUUGUGACUACAACUGUGAAUAGGAAUUGUUUUAUUUUAGGAGUGCAAGCAAGUAAUGCAGCUAAGACCACCACCUAUAAUACUACCAGGGCAGGUAAUGAAACUAUUUACAAGCAGUUUGCCAACUUAUCUGAGGUCUGCCAGGCUCCAGUCACCGCUUUCAGAAGAGCCAGAGGUUCUCUUCUCUGAGCUAACGCAGCGGUGCAGGUAUUAAUUCCCUUCCAUUCAGCUG
Molecule: non-coding RNA, 694 nt
Organism: Pelobates cultripes (western spadefoot toad)
Lineage: Eukaryota; Metazoa; Chordata; Amphibia; Anura; Pelobatidae
Source: the annotation of a GenBank genome assembly